AACAAUGGUUACUAUAUACUAGUGUAGUGACCCGCGCGAUUCGACAAGUAAAUAUAUUAUAAUCUUUUAAAAUUUAAAUUUUAAAUCUUAUAUUUCUAUAAGUUAUUUUGUAGAAAGUAAAACACAUUUACUUUAAAAGUUUUAGUAAUUUUAAAGUAUAUUGAAAAGUAUGAAGAUUUUUUUUUUUUAACAUUUUAGUUUUUUACAUUGAAGCAUCACAAUAGAUAUCAAAUCACAUCUAUUUCCGACAAUUUAAUUUAGAUGCCUUAUUAUAUAGGUAGUGACGUGUAGAUUUAAUCAGAAACAAUAGAAAAUAUAUUUAGCAAACAAAUUUCAAUAUAUCCAUUAGAUUGCGCUAAGUAUGGCAUUAGUUUGUAUAAUAAUUAAUCAUUUCAAAAAUUCUAAACCCUAAUAUAAACAAAUCUAUCAAAAUUUUCAGUACAAUCAAAUCAUUAUACAAUCUAUAUCUAUACCUAUACAUUAUUUUUCAUGAAGUCUUGCCACGUGGCGGUCCCUCCUUUAUCCUUAACCUUCUCCUCUCUUCUCUAAUCACAACCCACACUCUUCAUCUCCCCACCGAGUUACUAACGCAUCAUUAAUUUUAAUAAUUACGAUCUUAAACCCACAUUCUUCAUCUCCCCACCAACAAGUUACUAACGCAUCAUUAAUUUUAAUAAUUACGAUGAUCCACACAAUUAGCAUCACUAAAACCCCAUCAUCAUCAUCUCCUCAUUCUCCGAAACCAAAUACCACACUCCAACAAUGUCCUAUGUUACAAACCAACUCUUCUUUCUAUUAUUCUUAUUAUUAUUCUCGAACGCGAGUACGAACCCGUCAACGCCAUUCG
RNAcentral lists this long non-coding RNA (847 nucleotides) under Ananas comosus (pineapple). RNAcentral describes it as "long non-coding RNA (ACOM_LNC018368)". The record is from RNAcentral. Lineage: Eukaryota; Viridiplantae; Streptophyta; Magnoliopsida; Poales; Bromeliaceae.